This 482-nucleotide long non-coding RNA is filed under the name Homo sapiens (human). RNAcentral's name for it is "HSALNT0300902". The record is from RNAcentral. Lineage: Eukaryota; Metazoa; Chordata; Mammalia; Primates; Hominidae.
UAAACUAAAGAGCUUCUGCACAGCAAAAGAAACCAUCAUCAGAGUAAACAGACAACCUACAGAAUGGAACAAAUUUUUUGUAAUCUCUCUGUCUGACAAAGGACCUGAUUGUAUAAUGGUAAACACAACCAAUGUUGUUCCUGCUUUCAUAGAGUUUUCAUUUAAGUGGAUAAGACAGACAAACAGAUCAAAGGAUGAAGAGAGGUUUCCAGGUUAGUUAAGAUUUCCUCUGGGACAAAGCACAUUAUUUAUGUUCUCCCUGACCUGAAAGAGCACAUGGAUUUGGUUUAUUCUUUCUUCUCCCACUGACCUCCGAGAAUUCUUUAGAGGGCCUUGGCAUUUUUCAUUCCUCCAUUGGAUACGAGUGCUGCAUUUUAAUGGUGGAGAGAACUCCAGGAGAGGAACCAUUGUUAUGAAAUCAAACUGAGACAGACAUCUGUUUGGAAGACUCAGGCUCAUCUCUCAUUUCCCCAAAGCACUUC